AUGUUCAGGAAGAAGCGAUGGUUUCCAUCAUAGACUCUAAAUGCAAAGUUAGCAUUUUUUAGCACUUGAAAAUGUUGCUCCUCGCAGCUGAAAACACUUGAGGAGGAAAGAGUCUGAGAAAGCAAAGAUUUAAGAACAUUUAUUCUCUGAGCUCCUUAUAGAUCUUUUAGCUAUCCCUUCAUUUCUUAUGCCUACCUGAAAGUAAGUAUGAAACCUAAACUUGGCAAAUAGGCUAGCCUCUCUGCCCCAGAUUAAUGUCUUAUGCCAGUGUUAAGUUUCAUAUUCAGUUUUAUUUAAUCAGGUACUCUUCAUAAAAAAGCAUACCUUUUCGUUAUUUUAAAAGUGAGGUGCUUUUCAGCAUGGCUUUCUCUCCUCAUGGCUAGAAACUCUUGAAUCACCAUUAAAGCAAUGGAACUGUCUCACCUCAGAUGAUCAUGAUGCUGUUUCUUGGGUUUUAAUGUAAUGCUUUGCUAUUCAUUACUUCUGGAAUUAUUGAAUAGUCCCAAGAGUAGUGGUUGGUUUUGUAGCAUGGUAGUUCACAUGCUGAAAUAAACAAGUGCCUGAUUCUCUCUACUGUUAAUUCAACCAGUCCCUUUACUUAAGUAGAUUUUUGAAGAUUAAGAUCUACAGAAAUCAAGUUCCAUGUUGAAUUCCUUUCACUCCAUCCACUUGGAAUUUUGAGAGGCAUGGAGGAAUUUGAACUGUGAAUACACGUCUGGUAAAACUAGUUGAAAGAAGGUAACAUGCAGGAUAUUUUUGAUAGAAACUGUGCUUAAUAUAUCGGAAAAUAUGUUCAAGAACAGUUAAUCCUUACGUUAGGAUAACCCCCCAGAAAGCUGGCAAGGUCAGGCUCUAUGUGGAUUGCGUGUCAUUUAAGUGCUGGCUGCAGGAGUUGCCUGGGGGUAGUAUUAACUACUGCGUGGGACUUGUUCUAAGCUACAUCCGUGAAUCAUCAUUCUUCAUUUGAAGAUACUGGGGUCCUUCUAUCCUCCAUCCUCCUUCUUUUGACAGGUGCAAUCAGUAGCUUUAAUUCUAGUGACUAUCAGGUGACUCUUCUUUUGUGUGGAGAUUAAUCAGUUUGGAAAACGCUACUUCCAUGUAAACUACAUGAGCUAAUCAGAUUAUAACCUUCCAUUUUUCAUGCAUAUAAUAAAAUGUGUGAGGAAAGGGCUUAAAGUCAUUUAAUUAAGGUUUACAUUGUACGGUGUGAAAAGCCUUUCUGAAUUUUAUUUUUAAACAGAUGUUAACAUUAGUUCACAUGAAAUCUAAUCAUCUGGGGAGAACGGCACGUUAUGAGGAAAGUGGCAAGAACUCCUAACAAAAGUUAUUGCAUGCAGUGUAGUGAAUUCAUUUACAGCAGAAGCUGUUGGGGAAAAGGAAUUUGUUUGCAAUACCUGUCAUCUAAUUUCUGGCUAGCUUGUAUGUUGCCAACCUGGUAAGUCAAGGAGGAUUUAAUGUAGGUGUGGGGGAGUCAAACCUUAGCUACUUUGUGUGUAUGUAUCUAGGUCUACACGUGUAAAUAUAUCUACCCUUUGUGCAUUUGUGUGUGCAUGCGAUUUUGGGUGUGGGCAAGUUAAAGCAAAGUAGAAGCUUGGUCAAAAAUAUCUUCACCAAGAGAAAGCAAAAACAAUCACCAAGAACAAUAAUUUUAAAUACAUACUAAUUUAAAUAGUUGCUUUGCUUUGGGACACUAAGUCCUCAAACUCACCUCAACAGCUGUGAUAUUGCUGUUGUUGAUGAUGAUUUUUUUUCAAUAGCUUUUAAAUGUGAAAUUUAAAGCUUCAUAUUAAAAAGUCAUGAAGUGCAUCUCAUUACUGAUGCAGGCAGCAUUGCUGCAGUGUUAUUGCACAGAUGAUAUUGUCUUUUGAAGCCUCAAAUGUCAGGGAGCAGGGAAGAGCCUCCUUGCUUUGGAGGGCAUCUUUUCUCUUAAUGUAGAAAGCAGAUGAAUACUGAGUAAAUAUAAUUGUUGGGAGUUCAUGCACCAACUCUACUCCUGUCUAGGCUUUUGGCUUGCAAAUGAAAUCAAGAACUAGAGAUUUAUCUAUCAUUUUUACCACAGCUUUCAGUGCAGCCUGAGAUUUGUUCAUGCAUAUGUCAUAUGGCAACAGGCAUCAUGAUCACACUGAGUCAUUUGCAGAUUCAAUCUUGAACUCAGACCCAGGUACUAAAUACAAUGAAAUCUUGUCCUUUGUUAUCCACUUUGGACCCUGACUUCGUUCAGUGUUGCACCGUGUUUCUGCCUCUAAUUUUACGUCUUCAGAAAACACUGAAUAAGGCCAAGCUGAAUAUUUUUAUUUUUCAUGCUUCUAGAAAACUGAGGUUAGGAGACAGCUCACCAGUAAAUUAACAGUACUAAGCAGAGUAUUUAUUAUGAUUGUCUCAGACCUCCUUGGUAAAGUCAACUGGAAGGGCCACAGAGAACAACAAACUUUUAGAAUGUUCAGUUUCAUAGAAUAAUGUGAAAUACAAUAUAGAUUUAAGAGGAAGAACCCAAGUCACAUACUAAAACAAACAUGAAAAAUUUAUCAUGAGGAUGUGGGCUUAAAUGCACAUGGAGCAGUAUAGUGCCUGUCUGCAAUUCUGGUUGAAAGUAUGAUCUAAUGUUACUAGAUUGUCAUUACAAGACACUUAAUCCCCAGGGUGAGAAACAGGAAGAAUAUUCACAAGUUUCAGUGCUAUUUGCUAAUUGCCAAUUGACUUGAGGAAAGCUAAAAAAUGACUGGAAACAUCCAUCCCCAUCCUGAUACACACACACACACACACUAAUAGUGGAAAUGGCAGCCAAGACAAACAGCUAGCAGUGCAGUGCAUCCUGUUGGCAUCGUAUUUUUGGCACUGUUGUAGCUACACAGAAAACAAGUGAUACAAGAAAUGUGCAAGGACAUCUGUUCUGUAACCUAUGGGGCUUCUCUCACAAAACCGUUGUAAAAUCUUCUGGGGGAGAGAAAAAUUUCUCUAUAUCUGUGCAGAUGCGCUAUUGUAAGAAAAAUAUCAAUGGAAGGAAGUGUUGAGCCUUUAAAAGAGGAAAUUGUUCACCAGAUUCACUGUCAAAUGUUCCAUUCUUUUCUUUCCUUUUCAUUUAACCUAAGUUAUCUGCCAUUCACAAGUUAUAUUUAAGCCAAGUGGUGUAAAUCUGUAGGGACUAAUAGAAUUGAAUCAUGGAUUAAAUUAGCCCAGCGUCUGCUUGUAACUCUUCUUCGCUGCAGAUUACUUGGGCUCUGUGUCACUCUGCUGAUUAUUCAGGUCACAGCCUCCCUGCUACCAGCUUCCUUCCUGAAUCCAGCAUCUUCAUGUCUGUCUAGAGGUGCCACAGGGCAAAGAGAACUAUUAAGGACAUAUAUUAAGAUCCAAAAUAUUGUUUAAUUGUUUAAUUACCAGCUUCUCUCAGCAUUGCUGAUUCUCCUAAAUGUGAGCAAGCUAUGGGAGAACUGGGACAAAGGAAAGUGAGAAUUUUAAUGAGAUUGUAAGGCCCAUUCUAUCAUUCCUCUACUGCCCUUCAGUCACAUCACACUAAUGGACAUUUUAAAGGAAAGGAACUUUCCCAAAAUUCAAAUGUUGCAAAAGUCAGGAUAUAAGUAGUUAGGAUUCCCCCACAGGUGACCUAUGGGGAGAGAGACAUUUUUCCAUGCAAAAGAAAUCAAAUCUCAUGUAAACCUGGAAUACAUUAGGAAACUGGAAGAUAAAGAGGGGCUGUAAGUUGUAGGAGGCUGGGAGGGCUUGAGGAAGGGCAGCUUAGCUCUGAAAGCUGGGAGCAGCUUGAGCUCCUGCAUGGGAGAGCAUUUAGGAGCAGGAAAAAGAAUGGGCCUAGGUAGAGGGAGGUUUGUGGAGAAGUAGAGUUUUUUUCCUCUGCUAUGAAAGAAGUCAUAACUCUGGAGCAGAUACUAAAGAAGGGAAGAUCAAGGACACUGGGGUGGCUUGGGAAAGAUAUGGGACUGAGGCAGAAGAUAGCGAGUGGGUACUCAGUAGUGAGAAGCCAGAGCUUUCAAAGAGAUCACCAGGUUCCAGAGCAGCAAAGGUGAGAAACCCAUCAAUGAAGGACAACAUAGAGGGCUGGUUCUUCAGCAUAGCUCACACAAACACCCUGACACCUCCACUUGGAAUAUUAGGGAUAGAGGUGCAGGACUGCUUUCCUGCUACUUACCCCUUUUAAAAUCUGGUUUCAGAAAUAUAUCUGAGAUCUUACCUUUUAUAUAACAUCUGAGCUUGAGAAGGACAUGAUUUGAAAAAGGGUGAGAUGGAGAAACGAGGCUACACACUUUACAAGCAUUAGGAUUUGGAUGUUGUGUUGUUAUUAAAAAUGCUUGUUGUCUUAUUAAGACAACACCUUGAAUCUUACCUUCAUUUUAUAUAUUUCCUCUAAGUGUUCCAUAUUUACAUCCUUGACACCCAUAUAGUAAAACUCCAUGCUUACAGGCAAAGAAGUUCAUUAUUUUGUAUUUCAGCACUUCCCUUCUUGAUGGAGGAGGAAAAGAGAUGCCCUCAUGAUCUGUUUCUGUUGAGACAUUGGCUCAUGUUCCUCCAGGAUGUUCCAUAGCAUUUUUUCUGGAAAGCAACCAUGAAGGCUGCUCUGUAAUUUAUGUGAUCUGCCAUGCAAUAGCUUGUUUUAUGAGUAAAGCAGAAGCGAGUAACAAAUGUGCUUAUUCAAAGCAAUUCUAGAAAGGAGGAUUGUGUUGGUCCAAUUAAUCUCUUGAUGAUUUGUGGAUUUCAAUGACCACUGAUCAACAUCAGUCGGUUCUAUAUUUCACACGAUCGCCCUGUGAUCUAAUCUCAAAUCGUGACACUACUUAUUACUAUGAUAAGGGGCUCUCCAUCUAAGCCACUAUACAAACAAAUAACUUGAACAAACAGUUCUUCCACAACAAGUUUACAAUUCACACAUCAGACCAGGAAGCUAAGAAUGGGUAUUUAAAAAUGUAAACAAGGUGGGUUUGAAAAACAGAUGAGGUAGCAAUAAAGCUGUGUAGGAGGAGCAGAUGUCUUAGCUUCCUUCUCUCUUUACAGUGCUACCUAGGAAUGCUUUCUGGGCUAUACCAUACAUAAGAAUAAAUGAGAUCUGAUUGUUGUGCUAGUGUUGAUAAGAAAACAUGACUACGAGAAGAAAGGAGAUUCUUGUGUGCUAGUCCUUACCCCUUGGCUUGUUUGGUGCUGACAGUUGCUAGCCUGGGAUCAACUGAAGUACACCACAGAAGCAUUCCUGUACAAGGAAGCACAGGAGCCCAAAUCCCUCUGUCCUCACUUGCUGAGUAGAGCUUGCACUGUGAUGAGAGGAAUCCCAAGAAGAGGAGCAGAAGGGAGAAAUUAGUAUGAAGAAAGGUGUUGGGUUACUGGAACAGAGAAGCUGAGAGUAGAUGAAAAACCUUGUUGCCACUGGGAGAAAUUGUUUGGCUAGAGCAAACCUAGUAAUUUUGCUGUUCAGUCAAGAUCAAGAAUGGAAAGGCAGAUGGUGAUCAGAGCCUAUAGGAGCUGAGACAACGUGUCUCAAACUGCAACAGACACUGUGAGGUGGUAGAGAAAGAGAUGUCUUAUAAGAAAAAGGAAAUAUAUCAAACUGUCAAGAAAAACAGAAGAAAUGAGAAAAGGAAGAAUUCAUUCAUUGAGGAACCUGAAGGGUGAUAAAACUGAUAGAUACUUUAGUGGGAGAAGUUGUGUCUGAGGUGAAGUGCUGACGCUUGGCCCUUAUGGGACAAGAAAUGUCAUGGAAAAGUAAUAAAAAGUAAGAUGUGGGCAGCAGAGAUUUUAAAAUGAAGGGAAUAAUUAUUUGAAUGGAUAUGGAUUUGAAUGAAUAAGGAGCAAGUAGAGUGCAGGGUGGCUGUCAGAUACAGGGGGGCCCAGAACACAUGGCAAAGGAAGAAUGGAUGAGUAAGUAAAAGCAAUAAUCUGAUAUUUGGCAAGACUGUUUAAGAAAUGUUUAGCUUUUCAUUUGUUUACUAGGACAAAAAACAUAAAACCUUACAGACUAGAAGGAUUCCACCUUCACACAUUAUGGGUGGGAGUACUUGGUGCAGCCUUCUGUAGCUUUAGCAGCUAGUCAUUACUAUAGACAAAUCUGGGAUGCAUGGUCUUUUAGUUUAGGGCAGCCUGGCAAUUUUUGCACUGUUAUUCAUCUUGCCAAAAUACACAUUGUCUAAUAAUAUUUAAGUUGUAUAAACAUACCUUUCAAGGGAAGGAGCUGCUGAGAGAAUCCAGGCAAAGAAUUAGUAUGAGAGCAAAUCUAGUACUUCAUUACAAUGGCAGCUCCUGUUUCGGAUAGAGCCCCUGCUGCCCCCAAAGAAUGGGAAAAGAAGACAGAGACAGAGUCUUUCUAUCCCAACAAUGAAAAGAGAACGUCUUCCAAUUUCCUAUACAGCAAUUGCUGGCCUCACUGUGAACACCACCACCACACGGCCUGCAGUCAAUUCCAGUGUUUGUGUUUUUACCUUUGGUGGCAGUGUCUAUUUUUUCUUUUUCCCUGUGAUUAAUACAUGAAAGUUAGGUGGGAGUGAUUAAAUAGAAAAAUCUGGUUUUCAACUCUGCUUUGCCUUUCACCUUCAAGACAGAAUGGACUUCAUUUUUUUAUUGUUCUGGCUGUGUUUUCAAAGUGAAGCACAAGAUGUCUGACAGUUUCAUAACCAAACCUUGCUAAAUUCAUUACAAAAAAUCAUUUGUCUGUUGCCAAAGCAGUUAGGGGAAAGAGGAACAAUGUGCUUUGCAGAACCAAAGCAGGACUCAUGAAGUUGAGAGAGAAGCUGGUUAAUAAAAUAUGCAGUCACGCAGUAAAAUGUGAGCUAAAAAUUGAUCACUUGUCUUUUGCUGGUGCUUCAUAAUCAAUCCAUAUUGGUUCACCUUGCUUAGUACAGGUCACUGGCCUAUGUAUAAGACAUCAGUCUUCUGUAUUGUUCAAGAUCCAGUCUUGGGGUAGUGCCCUGCUGCCCUGUUGCCCACACCUUCUGCAAUCAUCUGCAGGCAUCAUAGAAGCUCUGGGAAGUGUAAGCUCUAGGAAAGCACAUGAGGAAGCUGGAGAGACUUUACAGGGCACAAAGGCAAGAAUCCUAAAAGUAUAUCAUGUUAUUUAUGUAGGUAAUGCAGCUUUCAUUAACGCAAAUGUAAGUCACUCAUGUACCCAGGAAGAAGGUGUCCCCAAAUCUAUGCACAAACACAGCUGUUUAUCAUGGCACUGUUCUGUACCCUCUUUAUUAGGUCUGUAAUCUAAAUGGUUUCUACGUACAGGAAAAGAUUUAGAUACAAAAUACCAAAAUACACACCUUCCUCCAUUUGGUUUUAAUACAGUUGGGUUAGUGUUUUCUUUAACAAUUCAUUUUUUCUUUAGGCAGCAUUAAGUGCCUUGAAACAGUUUUCAGAACAAGGACUGGAUCCAGUGGAAGGGGCUAUGAAAGUUGAAAAUGGAUCACUUGAAAAACAAGUCAAGCAUCUGGGAGAGAAAGCAGACAAUAAACAGACUAACUCAGGCACCAUUGCUCAGGACUGCAAGGAUUCAAAGGCUGUCGUCUAGGAGCUUCCCAGCACCCACGGCUGCCACUGCAUCCUUAUAAACCUGUCAACACGCAAUAGGGUGUAUGUGUACAAGGAAAUGAAUGACUAAUACCAUUAUUUGAGUCUUAUGUGAAGACAACACUAUUCUAACACAAGAGAUAGCAUACAUGGUACUGUUUAUUCAACUGUGGAAAAAAAAUAAAAUCGAACAUUUCCCUUAGAACUCAAGAUCAGAGCAUAACUCAAUUGCCCAGAGGCAGAAGAAAUCUGAUCAUGUUACUGGAGGUUAAAACGACAACUAAUUAACAAAAGUGUUAGGUAAAAAAAAAAAAAAAAAAAAAAAAAGGGAAACUUUAAAAUUGAUUAAUACUGAGGAAAAGAAGUCAGCAUUGGUUCAGUUAUACAAUUUUUCGUAGUGUAGUUUUAAGUUCAGCUUACUGUUUUUUAAAUAAUGCUUGAAUAUUUUAAAAUUAACCAAUGACAGUGCUGUGAGAAUUGUAGUUGUUGUCUUCAUAUAUAGUCAUACAGCUUAUCUUUUUAUGCAGACAUUAUGCAUUCUUCAUUCUAUAUGAAUAUGUAUGACUUUAAGAUGCACUACUCAGAGUUGUAUGCAAACAGAAGUUGAAAUCAUGACAAGUAUUUGCUUAACAUGAACAGAUGUUAGUUAUGAUCAGUCUCGAUAUACUCCAGGAAAAAGCAGAUAUGGUAUUUGAUUAUCCUUGCCAUAAUCAAUUAAAGAGGCGUCUUGCCUCCAAGCGACAUGUUCCCCUUCGAUUCUGCUCUCUGUUGUGUGAAGCACAUCUACACCCCAUUCUGUGUGUUGUAUCGGCCCACCGUUUGCAUCAACUGAGUGUUUUUAAUCUCUGCAUUCUGACCAACAGCAAAAGGUACAAUUGCAACAUUAUCAAGCCAAGGAAGGAAAGAUGUUGAUGUAAAGGUCAUUCUUUUGUGAAAGGAGAAGCAGCAGAGAUAAGACCUGUGGCUGCACUCUGUACCAGCAUAUUUCAUUGAAGUGUGUGGCCAAAUGCAGUAAAACCACAUCAGUUCAUGUGUA
Molecule: long non-coding RNA, 8524 nt
Organism: Oxyura jamaicensis (ruddy duck)
Lineage: Eukaryota; Metazoa; Chordata; Aves; Anseriformes; Anatidae
Exons: 2
Source: RefSeq, a predicted model, not a curated record